GGGGAAUUUUGCGCAAUGGGGGAAACCCUGACGCAGCAACGCCGCGUGGAGGAUGAAGUCUCUUGGGACGUAAACUCCUUUCGAUCGGGACGAUAAUGACGGUACCGAUAGAAGAAGCCCCGGCUAACUUCGUGCCAGCAGCCGCGGUAAUACGAGGGGGGCAAGCGUUGUUCGGAAUUAUUGGGCGUAAAGGGUGCGUAGGCGGCCCCGCAAGUCCUGUGUGAAAACUUCAAGCUCAACUUGGAGUCUGCACGGGAAACUGCUGGGCUGGAGUAUGGGAGAGGUGAGUGGAAUUUCCGGUGUAGCGGUGAAAUGCGUAGAUAUCGGAAGGAACACCUGUGGCGAAAGCGGCUCACUGGACCAUUUCUGACGCUGAUGCACGAAAGCUAGGGGAGCAAACA
RNAcentral lists this ribosomal RNA (401 nucleotides) under uncultured bacterium. RNAcentral describes it as "bacterial SSU rRNA". It matches the Rfam family "Bacterial small subunit ribosomal RNA", at positions 356 to 774 of the family's 1533-position model. The record is from RNAcentral.